UGAGUACGAGAUGCUACGGCAUCGAAGCAGUCUAUGUCAUACUUCCAAGAAAAGCUUGCAAUGUCAUAAACAAAUAAUGCCUGUACCAUAACCGACACAGGUGGGUAGGUAGAGUAUACUAAGGGGCGCGAGAUAACUCUCUCUAAGGAACUCGGCAAAAUGACUCCGUAACUUCGGGAGAAGGAGUGCCUUAUUUUUAUAAGGUUGCAAUAACAAGAUCCAAGCAACUGUUUACCAAAAACACAGGUCUCCGCUAAGUCGUAAGACGAUGUAUGGGGGCUGACGCCUGCCCAGUGCCAGAAGGUUAAAGAAGUUGGUUAGCAUUAGCGAAGCUGAUAACUGAAGCCCUGGUGAACGGCGGCCGUAACGAUAACGGUCCUAAGGUAGCGAAAUUCCUUGUCGGGUAAGUUCCGACCCGCACGAAAGGCGUAAUGAUUUGGAUACUGUCUCGGAGAGGGGCUCGGUGAAAUAGACUUGUCUGUGAAGAUGCGGACUACCUGCACCUGGACAGAAAGACCCUAUGAAGCUUUACUGUAACUUGAGAUUGAAAUUGGACUUUAUCUGCGCAGUAUAGGUGGGAGACGUUGAAAAUAUUCUUGCGGGAAUAUUGGAGUCAUCAGUGAGAUACCACUCUUAUAAUGUUAGAUUUCUAACUUUGUAUCAUUAUCUGGUCAAAGAACAGUUUCAGGCGGGCAGUUUGACUGGGGCGGUCGCCUCCCAAACGGUAACGGAGGCGCACAAAGGUUUCCUCUGAACGUGUAGAAAUCGUAUCUAGAGUGUAAAGGCAUAAGGAAGCUUGACUGUGAGACCUACAAGUCGAGCAGGGACGAAAGUCGGUCUUAGUGAUCUGACGGUGCUGAGUGGAAAGGCCGUCACUCAACGGAUAAAAGUUACUCUAGGAUAACAGGCUGAUCUCCCCCAAGAGUUCACAUCGACGGGGAGGUUUGGCACCUCGAUGUCGGCUCAUCGCAUCCUGGGGCGGUAGUACGUCCCAAGGGUUGGGCUGUUCGCCCAUGAAAGCGGUACGCGAGCUGGGUUCAGAACGUCGUGAGACAGUUCGGUCCAUAUCCGGUGUAGGCGUUAGAAUAUUGAGAGGAGCCUUCUUUAGUACGAGAGGACCGAGAAGGACAUACCUCUGGUGUACCAGUUAUCGUGCCAACGGUAAACGCUGGGUAGCCAUGUAUGGAGAGGAUAACCGCUGAAAGCAUCUAAGUGGGAAGCCCACC
Molecule: ribosomal RNA, 1226 nt
Filed under: metagenome
Description: bacterial LSU rRNA
Rfam family: Bacterial large subunit ribosomal RNA
Source: RNAcentral